Molecule: ribosomal RNA, 702 nt
Filed under: Pseudoalteromonas shioyasakiensis
Lineage: Bacteria; Pseudomonadati; Pseudomonadota; Gammaproteobacteria; Alteromonadales; Pseudoalteromonadaceae
Description: bacterial SSU rRNA
Rfam family: Bacterial small subunit ribosomal RNA
Source: RNAcentral
GAGAGUAGCUUGCUACUCUGCUGACGAGCGGCGGACGGGUGAGUAAUGCUUGGGAAUAUGCCUUAUGGUGGGGGACAACAGUUGGAAACGACUGCUAAUACCGCAUGAUGUCUACGGACCAAAGUGGGGGACCUUCGGGCCUCACGCCAUAAGAUUAGCCCAAGUGGGAUUAGCUAGUUGGUGAGGUAAUGGCUCACCAAGGCGACGAUCCCUAGCUGGUUUGAGAGGAUGAUCAGCCACACUGGGACUGAGACACGGCCCAGACUCCUACGGGAGGCAGCAGUGGGGAAUAUUGCACAAUGGGCGCAAGCCUGAUGCAGCCAUGCCGCGUGUGUGAAGAAGGCCUUCGGGUUGUAAAGCACUUUCAGUAAGGAGGAAAGGUUAAGUGUUAAUAGCACUUAGCUGUGACGUUACUUACAGAAGAAGCACCGGCUAACUCCGUGCCAGCAGCCGCGGUAAUACGGAGGGUGCGAGCGUUAAUCGGAAUUACUGGGCGUAAAGCGUACGCAGGCGGUUUGUUAAGCGAGAUGUGAAAGCCCCGGGCUCAACCUGGGAACUGCAUUUCGAACUGGCAAACUAGAGUGUGAUAGAGGGUGGUAGAAUUUCAGGUGUAGCGGUGAAAUGCGUAUAGAUCUGAGGGAAUACCGAUGGCGAAUGCAGCCACCUGGGUCAACACUGACGCUCAUGUACGAAAGCGUGGGG